Molecule: ribosomal RNA, 426 nt
Filed under: uncultured bacterium
Lineage: Bacteria
Description: bacterial SSU rRNA
Rfam family: Bacterial small subunit ribosomal RNA
Source: RNAcentral
UGGGGAAUAUUGGACAAUGGGCGAAAGCCUGAUCCAGCCGUGCCGCGUGUGUGAAGAAGGUCUUCGGAUUGUAAAGCACUUCUAGUUGGGAGGAAGGGCAUUAACCUACUACGUUGGUGUCUUGACGUUACCGACAGAAUAAGAACCGGCUAACUCUGUGCCAGCAGCCGCGGUAAUACAGAGGGUGCAAGCGUUAAGCGGAAUUACUGGGCGUAAAGCGCGCAUAGGAGGUUUGUUAAGUUGAAUGUGAAAUCCCCGGGCUCAACCUGGUAACUGCAUCCAACACUGGCAAGCUAGAGUAUGGUAGAGGGUAGUGGAAUUUCCUGUGUAGCGGUGAAAUGCGUAGAUAUAGGAAGGAACACCAGUGGCGAAGGCGACUACCUGGACUGAUACUGACUCUGAGGUGCAAGAGCGUGGGGAGCAAAC